Long non-coding RNA from Gorilla gorilla gorilla (western lowland gorilla), 280 nucleotides. RefSeq lists it as uncharacterized. The transcript has 3 exons. The record is from RefSeq and is a predicted model, not a curated record. NCBI's taxonomy places the organism in Eukaryota, Metazoa, Chordata, Mammalia, Primates, Hominidae.
UUCCAUUUCUAUGGACUAAAUAGGAUUCAUUUUCCUACUCAUAUACAAUAGAAUGCCUUCCAAUCAAUAUUAUUCUGAGUCCUGGGAUGGAACACUUGAUCUCAUCUGAAGAGUCCCCUCUGUCUCUCAGCCCAAGUGUGAGUCCAAUCUUCUCUCUGGCACUAGAAGACAGUUCAGAAGUAAACGAGCAAAGCACGUCACUAGUGUUCAACAUCUUGAUCACAGAGUAUCUGUAGAUUUCAUGGCAGAGCACAACAGUGAGUCGAAAGAAAUGUAAAGG